AACAAAAAGGCAUCUUUUUGUUUUUAAAAGACCUUCUUACGAAGGUAUGCUUAAAGAGGGGCUUGCGCCACAUUAGUUAGUUGGUAGAGUAAAAGCCUACCAAGACGAUGAUGUGUAGCUGGACUGAGAGGUUGAACAGCCACAUUGGGACUGAGACACGGCCCAAACUCCUACGGGAGGCAGCAGUAGGGAAUUUUCGGCAAUGGAGGAAACUCUGACCGAGCAACGCCGCGUGAACGAUGAAGUAUUUCGGUAUGUAAAGUUCUUUUAUUGAAGAAGAAAAAGUAGUGGAAAAACUAUAUUGACGUUAUUCAAUGAAUAAGCCCCGGCUAACUAUGUGCCAGCAGCCGCGGUAAGACAUAGGGGGCGAGCGUUAUCCGGAAUUAUUGGGCGUAAAGGGUGCGUAGGCUGUUAGAUAAGUCUAUAAUUUAAUUUCAGUGCUUAACGCUGUCUUGUUAUAGAAACUGUCUUGACUAGAGUGAGAUAGAGGCAAGCGGAAUUCCCAUGUGUAGCGGUAAAAUGUGUAAAUAUAUGGAGGAACACCAGAAGCGUAGGCGGCUUGCUGGGUCUUUACUGACGCUGAGGCACGAAAGCGUGGGUAGCAAACAGGAUUAGAUACCCUGGUAGUCCACGCCGUAAACGAUGAGUACUAAGUGUCGGGGUAAAACUCGGUACUGAAGUUAACACAUUAAGUACUCCGCCUGAGUAGUACGUACGCAAGUAUGAAACUUAAAGGAAUUGACGGGACUCCGCACAAGCGGUGGAUCAUGUUGUUUAAUUCGAAGAUACACGAAAAAUCUUACCAGGUCUUGACAUACUCUGCAAAGCUAUAGAAAUAUAGUGGAGGUUAUCAGGGAUACAGGUGGUGCAUGGUUGUCGUCAGUUCGUGUCGUGAGAUGUUAGGUUAAGUCCUAAAACGAACGCAACCCUUGUCGUUAAUUGCCAGCACAUAAUGGUGGGGACUUUAACGAGACUGCCAAUUAAACAUUGGAGGAAGGUGAGGAUUACGUCAAAUCAUCAUGCCCCUUAUGAUCUGGGCUACAAACGUGAUACAAUGGCUGUGACAAAGAGUAGCUGAAACGCGAGUUUUUAGCCAAUCUCAAAAAAGCAGUCUCAGUUCGGAUUGAAGUCUGUAACUCGACUUCAUGAAGUUGGAAUCGCUAGUAAUCGCGAAUCAGCAUGUCGCGGUGAAUACGUUCUCGGGGUUUGUACACACCGCCCGUCAAACCACGAAAGUUAGCAAUGC
RNAcentral lists this ribosomal RNA (1246 nucleotides) under 'Withania somnifera' phytoplasma. Its description in RNAcentral is "bacterial SSU rRNA". It matches the Rfam family "Bacterial small subunit ribosomal RNA", at positions 179 to 1420 of the family's 1533-position model. Lineage: Bacteria; Bacillati; Mycoplasmatota; Mollicutes; Acholeplasmatales; Acholeplasmataceae. The record is from RNAcentral.